This 116-nucleotide ribosomal RNA is filed under the name Johnevansia muelleri (SeqCode). Lineage: Bacteria; Pseudomonadati; Pseudomonadota; Gammaproteobacteria; Johnevansiales (SeqCode); Johnevansiaceae (SeqCode). The record is from RNAcentral.
CCUGAUAAUAAUAGCAGUUGGGAACCACCUGAUACCAUCUAGAAUUCAGAAGUGAAACCAUCUUGCGCCAAUGGUAGUGUGGGUUUUUUCCAUGUAAUAGUAGGUAAUUGUCAGGU